This 2153-nucleotide ribosomal RNA is filed under the name Staphylococcus aureus. RNAcentral's name for it is "partial 23S ribosomal RNA". It matches the Rfam family "Bacterial large subunit ribosomal RNA", at positions 310 to 2464 of the family's 2925-position model. The record is from RNAcentral. Lineage: Bacteria; Bacillati; Bacillota; Bacilli; Caryophanales; Staphylococcaceae.
UACGGAGUUACAAAGGACGACAUUAGACGAAUCAUCUGGAAAGAUGAAUCAAAGAAGGUAAUAAUCCUGUAGUCGAAAAUGUUGUCUCUCUUGAGUGGAUCCUGAGUACGACGGAGCACGUGAAAUUCCGUCGGAAUCUGGGAGGACCAUCUCCUAAGGCUAAAUACUCUCUAGUGACCGAUAGUGAACCAGUACCGUGAGGGAAAGGUGAAAAGCACCCCGGAAGGGGAGUGAAAUAGAACCUGAAACCGUGUGCUUACAAGUAGUCAGAGCCCGUUAAUGGGUGAUGGCGUGCCUUUUGUAGAAUGAACCGGCGAGUUACGAUUUGAUGCAAGGUUAAGCAGUAAAUGUGGAGCCGUAGCGAAAGCGAGUCUGAAUAGGGCGUUUAGUAUUUGGUCGUAGACCCGAAACCAGGUGAUCUACCCUUGGUCAGGUUGAAGUUCAGGUAACACUGAAUGGAGGACCGAACCGACUUACGUUGAAAAGUGAGCGGAUGAACUGAGGGUAGCGGAGAAAUUCCAAUCGAACCUGGAGAUAGCUGGUUCUCUCCGAAAUAGCUUUAGGGCUAGCCUCAAGUGAUGAUUAUUGGAGGUAGAGCACUGUUUGGACGAGGGGCCCCUCUCGGGUUACCGAAUUCAGACAAACUCCGAAUGCCAAUUAAUUUAACUUGGGAGUCAGAACAUGGGUGAUAAGGUCCGUGUUCGAAAGGGAAACAGCCCAGACCACCAGCUAAGGUCCCAAAAUAUAUGUUAAGUGGAAAAGGAUGUGGCGUUGCCCAGACAACUAGGAUGUUGGCUUAGAAGCAGCCAUCAUUUAAAGAGUGCGUAAUAGCUCACUAGUCGAGUGACACUGCGCCGAAAAUGUACCGGGGCUAAACAUAUUACCGAAGCUGUGGAUUGUCCUUUGGACAAUGGUAGGAGAGCGUUCUAAGGGCGUUGAAGCAUGAUCGUAAGGACAUGUGGAGCGCUUAGAAGUGAGAAUGCCGGUGUGAGUAGCGAAAGACGGGUGAGAAUCCCGUCCACCGAUUGACUAAGGUUUCCAGAGGAAGGCUCGUCCGCUCUGGGUUAGUCGGGUCCUAAGCUGAGGCCGACAGGCGUAGGCGAUGGAUAACAGGUUGAUAUUCCUGUACCACCUAUAAUCGUUUUAAUCGAUGGGGGGACGCAGUAGGAUAGGCGAAGCGUGCGAUUGGAUUGCACGUCUAAGCAGUAAGGCUGAGUAUUAGGCAAAUCCGGUACUCGUUAAGGCUGAGCUGUGAUGGGGAGAAGACAUUGAGUCUUCGAGUCGUUGAUUUCACACUGCCGAGAAAAGCCUCUAGAUAGAAAAUAGGUGCCCGUACCGCAAACCGACACAGGUAGUCAAGAUGAGAAUUCUAAGGUGAGCGAGCGAACUCUCGUUAAGGAACUCGGCAAAAUGACCCCGUAACUUCGGGAGAAGGGGUGCUCUUUAGGGUUAACGCCCAGAAGAGCCGCAGUGAAUAGGCCCAAGCGACUGUUUAUCAAAAACACAGGUCUCUGCUAAACCGUAAGGUGAUGUAUAGGGGCUGACGCCUGCCCGGUGCUGGAAGGUUAAGAGGAGUGGUUAGCUUCUGCGAAGCUACGAAUCGAAGCCCCAGUAAACGGCGGCCGUAACUAUAACGGUCCUAAGGUAGCGAAAUUCCUUGUCGGGUAAGUUCCGACCCGCACGAAAGGCGUAACGAUUUGGGCACUGUCUCAACGAGAGACUCGGUGAAAUCAUAGUACCUGUGAAGAUGCAGGUUACCCGCGACAGGACGGAAAGACCCCGUGGAGCUUUACUGUAGCCUGAUAUUGAAAUUCGGCACAGCUUGUACAGGAUAGGUAGGAGCCUUUGAAACGUGAGCGCUAGCUUACGUGGAGGCGCUGGUGGGAUACUACCCUAGCUGUGUUGGCUUUCUAACCCGCACCACUUAUCGUGGUGGGAGACAGUGUCAGGCGGGCAGUUUGACUGGGGCGGUCGCCUCCUAAAAGGUAACGGAGGCGCUCAAAGGUUCCCUCAGAAUGGUUGGAAAUCAUUCAUAGAGUGUAAAGGCAUAAGGGAGCUUGACUGCGAGACCUACAAGUCGAGCAGGGUCGAAAGACGGACUUAGUGAUCCGGUGGUUCCGCAUGGAAGGGCCAUCGCUCAACGGAUAAAAGCU